AGCGAACGCUGGCGGCAGGCUUAACACAUGCAAGUCGAACGGGCACUUCGGUGCUAGUGGCAGACGGGUGAGUAACGCGUGGGAACGUGCCUUUCGGUUCGGAAUAAUCCAGGGAAACUUGGACUAAUACCGGAUACGCCCUUCGGGGGAAAGAUUUAUCGCCGAAAGAUCGGCCCGCGUCUGAUUAGCUAGUUGGUGAGGUAAAGGCUCACCAAGGCGACGAUCAGUAGCUGGUCUGAGAGGAUGAUCAGCCACAUUGGGACUGAGACACGGCCCAAACUCCUACGGGAGGCAGCAGUGGGGAAUAUUGGACAAUGGGCGCAAGCCUGAUCCAGCCAUGCCGCGUGAGUGAUGAAGGCCUUAGGGUUGUAAAGCUCUUUUGUCCGGGAAGAUAAUGACUGUACCGGAAGAAUAAGCCCCGGCUAACUUCGUGCCAGCAGCCGCGGUAAUACGAAGGGGGCUAGCGUUGCUCGGAAUCACUGGGCGUAAAGGGCGCGUAGGCGGACUUUUAAGUCGGAGGUGAAAGCCCAGGGCUCAACCCUGGAAUUGCCUUCGAUACUGGGAGUCUUGAGUUCGGAAGAGGUUGGUGGAACUGCGAGUGUAGAGGUGAAAUUCGUAGAUAUUCGCAAGAACACCGGUGGCGAAGGCGGCCAACUGGUCC
This 661-nucleotide ribosomal RNA is filed under the name Allobosea robiniae. RNAcentral describes it as "bacterial SSU rRNA". It matches the Rfam family "Bacterial small subunit ribosomal RNA", at positions 28 to 735 of the family's 1533-position model. The record is from RNAcentral. Lineage: Bacteria; Pseudomonadati; Pseudomonadota; Alphaproteobacteria; Hyphomicrobiales; Alloboseaceae.